RNAcentral lists this ribosomal RNA (484 nucleotides) under uncultured bacterium. RNAcentral's name for it is "partial 16S ribosomal RNA". It matches the Rfam family "Bacterial small subunit ribosomal RNA", at positions 30 to 507 of the family's 1533-position model. The record is from RNAcentral.
AUUGAACGCUGGCGGUAUGCUUUACACAUGCAAGUCGAACGGCAGCGCGGUCUUCGGCUUGGCGGCGAGUGGCGAACGGGUGAGCAAUACAUCGGAACGUGCCCAGUUGUGGGGGAUUGCUCGGUGAAAGCCGGAUUAAUACCGCAUACGCCCUGAGGGCGAAAGCGGGGAAUCUUCGGACCUCCCGCUAUUGGAGGGGCCGAUGGCAGAUUAGCUAGUUGGUGGGGUAAAGGCCUACCAAGGCGACGAUCUGUAGCUGGUCUGAGAGGACGACCAGCCACACUGGGACUGAGACACGGCCCAGACUCCUACGGGAGGCAGCAGUGGGGAAUUUUGGACAAUGGGCGAAAGCCUGAUCCAGCAAUGCCGCGUGGGUGAUGAAGGCCUUCGGGUUGUAAAGCACUUUUGGCGGGAACGAAAAGGACUGUGCCAAUACCACGGUUCGAUGACGGUACCCGCAGAAUAAGCACCGGCUAACUACGUG